This 589-nucleotide ribosomal RNA is filed under the name uncultured Bacillus sp. Its description in RNAcentral is "partial 16S ribosomal RNA". Lineage: Bacteria; Bacillati; Bacillota; Bacilli; Caryophanales; Bacillaceae. The record is from RNAcentral.
GACGAAAGUACUGAUGGAGCAACGCCGCGUGAGCGAUGAAGGCCUUCGGUCGGUAAAGACUCUGUGUUAGGGUAGUAACGAAAGUAGACGAGAGUAACUGACUCGCACCUUGACCGGUUACCUAACCGACGAAAACGCCAAACGGCCUAAACGUACGUAGACCCAGGCCAAGCCCGCGGUAACUACCGGUAAGGUUAGGUACGUAAGGCGUUAGUCCCGGGUAAUUUACGUUAGGGUACGUUAAAAGGCGGUAACGCGGCAGGGUCGGUCCGUUUUAAAGGUCCUUUAGUAUUGGUGAAAAGUCCCAAACGGGCCUCGAACCCGUGAACGGGUUCGAGUUGGAAACUUGGGGGAACUUGGGAGUUGCAGAACGAGGAAAAGUGGGAAAAUUCCGAAAGUUCGUAAGCGGUUGAAACGUGACGUAGACGAUUUAGGAGGUAACGACCGAAGUACGGGNACGGUAACGGUACGGGUACGGUACGGUACCGGGUACCGGACCGGUAACGUUAACGGUUACGGUUACGGGUACGGGUACGGUAACGGGUACGAACGAACCGGAACGGGGUAACGGUAACGGGGUAGGUAGUAG